UGCCUGGGAAAUUGCCCUGAUGUGGGGGAGUAACCAUUGGAACGAUGGCUAAUACCGCAUAAUGUCUACGGACCAAAGAGGGGGACCGUUCGGGCCUCUCGCUUCAGGAUAUGCCCAGGUGGGAUUAGCUAGUUGGUGAGGUAAUGGCUCACCAAGGCGACGAUCCCUAGCUGGUCUGAGAGGAUGAUCAGCCACACUGGAACUGAGACACGGUCCAGACUCCUACGGGAGGCAGCAGUGGGGAAUUUUCCGCAAUGGGCGAAAGCCUGACGGAGCAAUACCGCGUGAGGGAUGACGGCC
This 300-nucleotide ribosomal RNA is filed under the name uncultured Vibrionaceae bacterium. RNAcentral describes it as "bacterial SSU rRNA". It matches the Rfam family "Bacterial small subunit ribosomal RNA", at positions 114 to 416 of the family's 1533-position model. The record is from RNAcentral. Lineage: Bacteria; Pseudomonadati; Pseudomonadota; Gammaproteobacteria; Vibrionales; Vibrionaceae.